RNAcentral lists this ribosomal RNA (309 nucleotides) under Triticum aestivum (bread wheat). RNAcentral describes it as "partial small subunit ribosomal RNA". Lineage: Eukaryota; Viridiplantae; Streptophyta; Magnoliopsida; Poales; Poaceae. The record is from RNAcentral.
AUGCGCAGCCCGCGGCCCGUCGGAUUCGCUCUCGCCCGCGGCCUCCUCCGCCUUCAGAAACCUCGCCUAGUUCGGACCUUGGAUCCAAGCAGCAACCCCCGUGUCUGCGGCGUGGAAGAAGAUUAUCUACUCGGAAUUCCAUUGUUCCAUGCUGCGUUGCCACAUUCAGAUUCAGUUAUGAAGCAUGUUGGUGCAACCCGAAAUCACAAUUCAGAAUCAGUUUGUUCUGUGAAGAAAUGUGUAAUCACUUUGACUGGUUCAGGUUUCUGUAUCUGGUCUUGGGUCGAUGCUACCAAAUCUCACAACUGA